Camponotus floridanus (Florida carpenter ant) is the source of this 1011-nucleotide long non-coding RNA. RefSeq lists it as uncharacterized. NCBI's taxonomy places the organism in Eukaryota, Metazoa, Arthropoda, Insecta, Hymenoptera, Formicidae. The transcript is spliced from 4 exons. The record is from RefSeq and is a predicted model, not a curated record.
UCGCGGCCGCUGAUUGGUCGGCCGCGAAACGGCGGGAACGCAGCGAUCUAUCGAAGCGGCGAAAACGCGCGCUCGCGCUUGCGCGAUGCGCGACAAGACGCGCUCUCGCCCGCGAGACGGUUGUGAUUUCGCGCUCUUUUCUUCAGUGGUUUUUCGACUUUACGUCCACUUAUCCCGGACCCUUCAAAUUUCGAUCCUCGGCGUAAAUUUUCAUCUGGAAACUCACCAGGUCCGACGUUCUUUUAUGAAAAUUGAAUCGCGUGUCCUUCGGCUGUAUCCCCUUGUCGUGCCACCAACCAUAACUGGAAAUUGUCAGAAUUCAUCGUUGGAGCGACAAAUAAUGAAGAAAUUGACGGUGCUAAAUUGCGGAAAAAAUAAGAAUUACGUGUGACUGGUCAACAGUGAUUCUCCCAAUUUAACUUUUGCAUACUUGACGUAUCUUCAACGACUUCAAGAGAUGAAGACGUACCAUUCGUUUUCGAUACGCAAGUGUUGGAUCUUCCGGUUUGUUGGCUUCUCGAGAAACACAACUUGAAGGGUGGUCUCUCCUUUUUCGACGUUACUGGUCUCGAAUCGUACGAAUCCGUUUGUUGGUCGGACAUAUUUUGAAAAUACGACGACAAACUUCCGCCCCGAUUGUCCGCCCUGACGAUCCACGACUGAGUGUCUCCGCCUAGGAUUAAGGCCGUCGAGGACGUGCGUGCUGCGACGUAUGGGAGUCACCUAUUUGAUCGAUAUUGCCUGCGAAAUAACAUUGUUGGAAAUAAGGAAACGUGGGUGACAAAGCGUCCUCGUCUCGAAGAAUCGCGUUGCAUGCUUAUUAUUUUGCACAAGGUAGCCAGAAUCGCAAAGAAACGGGGGAAGAUUCGUAGGAGCAUUCAGACGAAGGACAAGAGUUAAGAAUAUAGAGGUUCGACUGUAUCUCGGGGAAAAGAUAUCACGAACUAUUUAGAGUAGGAAUGCGACAUUUCACUUUUACUUCUUCUUUUACUCGAAAUGACCUUCCCGACG